GAGGUUAUAGCUCAAGUAGUAGAGCGCAGGCUUAGCAUGCGUGCAUGAGGUCCUGGGUUCAAUCCCCAGUACCUCCU
Non-coding RNA from Camelus ferus (Wild Bactrian camel), 77 nucleotides. NCBI's taxonomy places the organism in Eukaryota, Metazoa, Chordata, Mammalia, Artiodactyla, Camelidae. The record is from Rfam.